GCGGAGAUGGAGCAAAAGUGGCUCGGAAGGUUCAUGCCCUUCAAACCAGUGAGUGCAACUCUCACCUCCGCCACCA
Molecule: transfer RNA, 76 nt
Filed under: Spirulina sp. SIO3F2
Lineage: Bacteria; Bacillati; Cyanobacteriota; Cyanophyceae; Spirulinales; Spirulinaceae
Description: tRNA-Met
Source: RNAcentral